This is a long non-coding RNA of Ochotona princeps (American pika), 1150 nucleotides long. RefSeq lists it as uncharacterized. The record is from RefSeq and is a predicted model, not a curated record. The transcript has 2 exons. NCBI's taxonomy places the organism in Eukaryota, Metazoa, Chordata, Mammalia, Lagomorpha, Ochotonidae.
AAUAUUAUUUACAUAGUUGAGAGGAAUGUGUGCCCUUCUGGGCCUCUGUUUAGGUGGGAAGGAUCGAAGUAUGGUGGAAGGUGGGUGGGAUAAAUGUUUCAAAUAAUUUUUUUUCCUCCUGUGUCUGGUUAUGGGAAUGGGGCAGGGACUGCACUUAGCUGUCAAACUAUAUCAGCACCCAGAGAUGGGAGGCAGUCAUUUGAUGAUGCUUUAAAAGACCCCCAGUAUGGGGAAGAAUGUUCCACGGGUGUUACUUGAGUAGUUUUGAAGUUCAGAGAUGUUGUCAGCUUCUUUGCACCAGGGUUGAGAAAAUCUUUCCAAGGUCUGUUGGUUGACCAAGUCCACCUCAAUACAUCCACAGACAGACCCAAACACUUACUGCUUAGCCUGACCAGCAGAGUUGUCCCACCUGUUCUGCCCUCCAACUGCUGACAUCCUCUGCUAACCUAGAUGACAUAGCUGGGUUUUGGACCCAGGCAUUCUGACUGCUUCUUUACAAGUUUCUUGACAUUCUCAAAUGUGCCACAUUCUUUUGACUCAGAAGGCCAUCUCUUCUGUCAUGGGGUUCUAAGCUCUCCUACCGCUUCUAACACACUGGCAGCAUCAGAGAACAUUGAAAGAUCCUGACUUCCAAGGCUCUUGGGACCCUGAAAUGUCAGCCGAAUGCUGUGGAACUUUCUCUUUGGUCUCCGGCUCCUGAUGCAGCAGUCAGAAGAGCAACCCUGCCAUCUGCUGUCAGUGUUGCUGCUGCGUGGGUUGGCCCCAAGCCCGUGACGCUGGCCUUGGCCCUGUCCGGGAGCCAGCCACCCACCACGUCCCUUUGUGAGGGGAGUUGGAGGUGGGGGUGCAGAGAAGAGAACGCCCCAGCCUCCUGCUCGCAUUCCUAGACACCGACUCACUGUGCCCGCCGCCACUGGAACAGCAGAGCUGUGUGAAAUGUCAAGAGGAGUUAUGCUCACAGGUCCCCCAGCCCCCGGUCACUCUGUGGCUUGCCUUUUCUUCCCCAUCUGCAACUGCGUUCAUCAGAUGGAAACCAGAGGAUGCAAUUAGAAGAUUAUUUGCUAGUUCCAGACCAAUUCAGGACUAAUUUUGGGGUGGGGGGCGUGGAUGGGCGCUCCUUCUUGCCUGAUCAAAUUGCAGAAAACCCGAA